RNAcentral lists this ribosomal RNA (253 nucleotides) under uncultured bacterium. Its description in RNAcentral is "partial 16S ribosomal RNA". It matches the Rfam family "Bacterial small subunit ribosomal RNA", at positions 524 to 776 of the family's 1533-position model. The record is from RNAcentral.
UACAGAGGGUGCGCGCGGUAAUCGAAAUUGCUGGGCGUAAAGCGCACGUAGGUGGCGACGUAAGUCGGGUGUGAAAGCCUCGGGCUCAACCUGGGAAUUGCAUUCGAGACUGCAUUGCUGGAGUACGGAAGAGGAGGGCGGAAUUCCCGGUGUAGCGGUGAAAUGCGUAGAUAUCGGGAGGAACAUCAGUGGCGUAGGCGGCGCUUGUGUCCAGUACAGACAAUCAAUUGUGAAAGCGUGGGGAGCAAACAGG